RNAcentral lists this ribosomal RNA (539 nucleotides) under Epicoccum sp. RNAcentral's name for it is "eukaryotic LSU rRNA". The stretch from base 169 to 320 matches the Rfam family "5.8S ribosomal RNA". The record is from RNAcentral. Lineage: Eukaryota; Fungi; Ascomycota; Dothideomycetes; Pleosporales; Didymellaceae.
GUAGUGACCUCCCGGAGGAUCAUUACCUAGAGUUUGUAGACUUCGGUCUGCUACCUCUUACCCAUGUCUUUUGAGUACCUUCGUUUCCUCGGCGGGUCCGCCCGCCGAUUGGACAACAUUCAAACCCUUUGCAGUUGCAAUCAGCGUCUGAAGGAACAUAAUAGUUACAACUUUCAACAACGGAUCUUGGUUCUGGCAUCGAUGAAGAACGCAGCGAAAUGCGAUAAGUAGUGUGAAUUGCAGAAUUCAGUGAAUCAUCGAAUCUUUGAACGCACAUUGCGCCCCUUGGUAUUCCAUGGGGCAUGCCUGUUCGAGCGUCAUUUGUACCUUCAAGCUCUGCUUGGUGUUGGGUGUUUGUCUCGCCUCUGCGUCCAGACUCGCCUUAAAACAAUUGGCAGCCGGCGUAUUGAUUUCGGAGCGCAGUACAUCUCGCGCUUUGCACUCAUAACGACGACGUCCAAGGGUACAUUUUUACACUCUUGACCUCGGAUCAGGUAGGGAUACCCGCUGAAACUCCAUCAUAUCAAUAACCGGAGGAA